GACGAACGCUGGCGGCGUGCUUAACACAUGCAAGUCGAACGGAAAGGCCCUGCUUUUGUGGGGUGCUCGAGUGGCGAACGGGUGAGUAACACGUGAGUAACCUGCCCUUGACUUUGGGAUAACUUCAGGAAACUGGGGCUAAUACCGGAUAGGAGCUCCUGCUGCAUGGUGGGGGUUGGAAAGUUUCGGCGGUUGGGGAUGGACUCGCGGCUUAUCAGCUUGUUGGUGGGGUAGUGGCUUACCAAGGCUUUGACGGGUAGCCGGCCUGAGAGGGUGACCGGCCACAUUGGGACUGAGAUACGGCCCAGACUCCUACGGGAGGCAGCAGUGGGGAAUAUGGCACAAUGGGCGGAAGCCUGAUGCAGCAACGCCGCGUGCGGGAUGACGGCCUUCGGGUUGUAAACCGCUUUCGCCUGUGACGAAGCGUGAGUGACGGUAAUGGGUAAAGAGGCACCGGCUAACUACGUG
Molecule: ribosomal RNA, 468 nt
Filed under: uncultured bacterium
Lineage: Bacteria
Description: partial 16S ribosomal RNA
Rfam family: Bacterial small subunit ribosomal RNA
Source: RNAcentral